Molecule: ribosomal RNA, 207 nt
Filed under: Triticum aestivum (bread wheat)
Lineage: Eukaryota; Viridiplantae; Streptophyta; Magnoliopsida; Poales; Poaceae
Description: partial small subunit ribosomal RNA
Source: RNAcentral
GGUUCAGCGACGACGGCGUGGACGCAGCGGCAGAACAAGCAGUUUGAGUGCGCGCUGGCGGUGUACGACCGGGACACGCCGCACCGGUGGCACGACGUGGCCCGUUACAUGGGCGGCGCCAAGUCCGCCGACGAGGUGCGCCGCCACUUCGAACGCCUCGUCCACGACGUCGCGCAGAUUGAGUCAUCCGGGCGCUACGCCGGCUAG